GAAGAAAGUAAUCCAAAACUAAGCUUCUAACUUAUGUUUUAAGCAGUGUAACUCUGUUUUUUCUUCU
RNAcentral lists this transfer RNA (67 nucleotides) under Coleoptera sp. 2 KM-2017. RNAcentral describes it as "tRNA-Ser". Lineage: Eukaryota; Metazoa; Arthropoda; Insecta; Coleoptera. The record is from RNAcentral.